RNAcentral lists this ribosomal RNA (497 nucleotides) under uncultured bacterium. Its description in RNAcentral is "partial 16S ribosomal RNA". It matches the Rfam family "Bacterial small subunit ribosomal RNA", at positions 28 to 507 of the family's 1533-position model. The record is from RNAcentral.
GACGAACGCUGGCGGCGUGCCUAAUACAUGCAAGUUGAGCGCUGAAGGUUGGUACUUGUACCAACUGGAUGAGCAGCGAACGGGUGAGUAACGCGUGGGGAAUCUGCCUUUGAGCGGGGGACAACAUUUGGAAACGAAUGCUAAUACCGCAUAAAAACUUUAAACACAAGUUUUAAGUUUGAAAGAUGCAAUUGCAUCACUCAAAGAUGAUCCCGCGUUGUAUUAGCUAGUUGGUGAGGUAAAGGCUCACCAAGGCGAUGAUACAUAGCCGACCUGAGAGGGUGAUCGGCCACAUUGGGACUGAGACGCGGCCCAAACUCCUGCGGGAGGCAGCAGUAGGGAAUCUUCGGCAAUGGACGAAAGUCUGACCGAGCAACGCCGCGUGAGUGAAGAAGGUUUUCGGAUCGUAAAACUCUGUUGGUAGAGAAGAACGUUGGUGAGAGUGGAAAGCUCAUCAAGUGACGGUAACUACCCAGAAAGGGACGGCUAACUACGUG